GAAUUGCCAUUGAUACUGUUGUUCUUGAGUUAUUGUGAAGUGGUUAGAAUGAGUAGUGUAGCGGUGAAAUGCAUAGAUAUUACUCAGAAUACCGAUUGCGAAGGCAGAUCACUAACAAUGAACUGACGCUGAUGGACGAAAGCGUAGGUAGCGAACAGGAUUAGAUACCCUGGUAGUCUACGCCGUAAACGAUGGUUACUAGCUGUUCGGGCAAAUUGAUGUCUGAGUGGCUAAGCGAAAGUGAUAAGUAACCCACCUGGGGAGUACGUUCGCAAGAAUGAAACUCAAAGGAAUUGACGGGGGCCCGCACAAGCGGUGGAGCAUGUGGUUUAAUUCGAUGAUACGCGAGGAACCUUACCAGGGCUUAAAUGCAUUUUGACAGGGGUGGAAACAC
This 394-nucleotide ribosomal RNA is filed under the name uncultured bacterium. RNAcentral's name for it is "bacterial SSU rRNA". It matches the Rfam family "Bacterial small subunit ribosomal RNA", at positions 618 to 1009 of the family's 1533-position model. The record is from RNAcentral.